GAUGUGGAAAGCACGAGCCGGGAAUGGAAAGACCGGUACAAGCGGGGUAGGUGUACAACAGGCAAAUCCGUUGUAUAAUCCGAAGACGUGGUGUGGAGCGAAAUAAAGUAGUGAAGCGUGUGAGCCAUGUGCCGAGAAAAGCUGCUAUUGUGUAAUGCGUGCCCGUACCGUAAACCGACACAGGUGGAUGAGGAGAGAAUCCUAAGGCCGACGGAAGAAGCAUUGUUAAGGAAUUCGGCAAAAUGACCCCGUAACUUCGGGAGAAGGGGUGCCUGCGAGAGCAGGCCGCAGAGAAUAGGCUCAAGCAACUGUUUAGCAGAAACACAGGUCUAUGCGAAACCGAAAGGUGAAGUAUAUGGGCUGACGCCUGCCCGGUGCUGGAAGGUUAAGAGGAGAGGUUAGCGUAAGCGAAGCUUUGAAUUUAAGCCCCAGUAAACGGCGGCCGUAACAAUAACGGUCCUAAGGUAGCGAAAUUCCUUGUCGGGUAAGUUCCGACCCGCACGAAAGGCGUAAUGAUUAGAGCACUGUCUCGACAAUGCAUCCGGUGAAAUUGAAGUACCAGUGAAGAUGCUGGUUACCCGCGCCAGGACGGAAAGACCCCAUGGAGCUUUACUCCAGUUUGAUACUGGGAUUCGGUACUGCAUGUACAGGAUAGGUGGGAGACAAAGAAGGAUGGACGCCAGUCUGUCCGGAGUCGCUGUUGGGAUACCACCCCUGUAGUACUGGGUUUCUAACCAGUUGCCAUGAACUGGCAAUGGGACAAUGUCAGGCGGGGAGUUUGACUGGGGCGGUCGCCUCCGAAAGGGUAUCGGAGGCGCUCAAAGGUUCCCUCAGAAUGGUUGGAAACCAUUUGAAGAGUGCAAAGGCAGAAGGGAGCUUGACUGCGACACCGACGGGUGGAGCAGGUACGAAAGUAGGACUUAGUGAUCCGGUGGUAUAAAGUGGGAUUGCCAUCGCUCAACGGAUAAAAGCUACCCUGGGAUAACAGGCUUAUCACUCCCAAGAGUUCACAUCGACGGAGUGGUUUGGCACCUCGAUGUCGGCUCAUCGCAUCCUGGGGCUGUAGCAGGUCCCAAGGGUUGGGCUGUUCGCCCAUUAAAGCGGUACGCGAGCUGGGUUCAGAACGUCGUGAGACAGUUCGGUCCCUAUCCGGCGCGGGCGGAGGAUAUUUGAGAGGAGCUGUCCUUAGUACGAGAGGACCGGGAUGGACGGACCACUGGUGUAUCUGUUGUCGACCAACGGCAUGGCAGAGUAGCCAAGUCUGGAAGGGAUAAACGCCGAAGGCAUCUAAGCGUGAAGCCCCCCUUAAGAUGAGAUAUCCCUCCUUCGGGAGUAAGACCCCUUGAAGACUACAAGGUAGAUAGGGCAGAGGUGGAAGCAUGGCAACAUGUGGAGCUGACUGUUACUAAUAGGUCGAGGGCUUAAUU
Molecule: ribosomal RNA, 1427 nt
Filed under: metagenome
Description: bacterial LSU rRNA
Rfam family: Bacterial large subunit ribosomal RNA
Source: RNAcentral